RNAcentral lists this ribosomal RNA (294 nucleotides) under uncultured prokaryote. Its description in RNAcentral is "partial 16S ribosomal RNA". It matches the Rfam family "Archaeal small subunit ribosomal RNA", at positions 455 to 747 of the family's 1478-position model. The record is from RNAcentral.
GUGCCAGCCGCCGCGGUAAUACCGGCAGCACGAGUGAUGACCGCUAUUAUUGGGCCUAAAGCGUCCGUAGCUGGCCAUGCAAGUCCAUCGGGAAAUCCGCGCGCUUAACGCGCGGGCGUCCGGUGGAAACUGCAUGGCUUGGGACCGGAAGACCAGAGGGGUACGUCCGGGGUAGGAGUGAAAUCCCGUAAUCCUGGACGGACCACCGGUGGCGAAAGCGCCUCUGGAAGACGGAUCCGACGGUGAGGGACGAAAGCUCGGAUCACGAACCGGAUUAGAAACCCCGCGUAGUCC